This 495-nucleotide ribosomal RNA is filed under the name uncultured bacterium. RNAcentral's name for it is "partial 16S ribosomal RNA". It matches the Rfam family "Bacterial small subunit ribosomal RNA", at positions 28 to 507 of the family's 1533-position model. The record is from RNAcentral.
GACGAACGCUGGCGGCGUGCCUAAUACAUGCAAGUAGAACGCUGAAGGAGGAGCUUGCUCUUCUGGAUGAGUUGCGAACGGGUGAGUAACGCGUAGGUAACCUGCCUGGUAGCGGGGGAUAACUAUUGGAAACGAUAGCUAAUACCGCAUAAAAUUGAUUAUUGCAUGAUAGUCAAUUAAAAGGUGCAAUUGCAUCACUACCAGAUGGACCUGCGUUGUAUUAGCUAGUUGGUGAGGUAACGGCUCACCAAGGCAACGAUACAUAGCCGACCUGAGAGGGGGAUCGGCCACACUGGGACUGAGACACGGCCCAGACUCCUACGGGAGGCAGCAGUAGGGAAUCUUCGGCAAUGGACGGAAGUCUGACCGAGCAACGCCGCGUGAGUGAAGAAGGUUGUCGGAUCGUAAAGCUCUGUUGUAAGAGAAGAACGAGUGUGAGAGUGGAAAGUUCACACUGUGACGGUAUCUUACCAGAAAGGGACGGCUAACUACGUG